UACAGAGGCCUCAAGCGUUGUUCGGAUUCAUUGGGCGUAAAGGGUGCGUAGGUGGCGCGGUAAGUCGGGUGUGAAAUUUCGGAGCUUAACUCCGAAACUGCAUUCGAUACUGCCGUGCUUGAGGACUGGAGAGGAGACUGGAAUUUACGGUGUAGCAGUGAAAUGCGUAGAUAUCGUAAGGAAGACCAGUGGCGAAGGCGGGUCUCUGGACAGUUCCUGACACUGAGGCACGAAGGCCAGGGGAGCAAACGGG
Molecule: ribosomal RNA, 253 nt
Filed under: uncultured bacterium
Lineage: Bacteria
Description: partial 16S ribosomal RNA
Rfam family: Bacterial small subunit ribosomal RNA
Source: RNAcentral